RNAcentral lists this ribosomal RNA (270 nucleotides) under uncultured bacterium. RNAcentral's name for it is "partial 16S ribosomal RNA". It matches the Rfam family "Bacterial small subunit ribosomal RNA", at positions 29 to 285 of the family's 1533-position model. The record is from RNAcentral.
AAUGAACGCUGGCGGCGUGCUUAACACAUGCAAGUCGUGCGCGAAGGUGGCUUCGGCUGCCGGAGAGCGGCGAACGGGUGAGUAACACGUGGGUAAUCUGCCUGGGAGCGUGGGAUAACCUGGGGAAACUCGGGCUAAUACCGCGUACGUUGACGGGGCUGUGGUUCUGUCAAGAAAGCUGGCCUCUAUUUAUAAGCUAGCGCUCCCAGAGGAGCCCGCGGCUGAUUAGCUAGUUGGUGAGGUAAAGGCUCACCAAGGCAUCGAUCAGUA